CCCAGGCUCUGUGGAAAGAAGAAAGUGGAGUUUCUCUUUCUGCUUCCAGACUGGAGUUGGACUGCCACCAGCUGCCUCAAAGCUGCUGCCACCAUGGUUUCCCUACUGUAGCCUCAAACUAUGACUACUGGUCCAUAGUGUAUAUGGACCAUGUUUUCAAUUAUCCAGUCACCACUAAAGGCCAGAAGGCUCAAAGAGGAAGAUGUAGCCCAGCUUCCCUGGUGGGUGUUCCCAAUGCAGAUGAUCUGAGAUUAAAGAUGGCUCUUUCUACAGCAACUGAGAAAUUCAGUGAAAUCUC
Peromyscus eremicus (cactus mouse) is the source of this 298-nucleotide long non-coding RNA. RefSeq lists it as uncharacterized. The record is from RefSeq and is a predicted model, not a curated record. Lineage: Eukaryota; Metazoa; Chordata; Mammalia; Rodentia; Cricetidae. The transcript has 3 exons.